This 285-nucleotide unclassified non-coding RNA is filed under the name plant metagenome. RNAcentral's name for it is "partial contains small subunit ribosomal RNA, internal transcribed spacer 1, and 5.8S ribosomal RNA". The stretch from base 1 to 54 matches the Rfam family "Eukaryotic small subunit ribosomal RNA", at positions 1778 to 1831 of the family's 1831-position model. The record is from RNAcentral.
GGAAGUAAAAGUCGUGACAAGGUUUCCGUAGGUGAACCUGCGGAAGGAUCAUUAUUGUAUAACCGAGGUGCGAGGGCUGUCGCUGACCCGAAAGGUCGUGCACGCCCGAGUGCCCUCACACACAUCCAUCUCACCCCUAUGUGCACCACCGCGUGGGUCCCCCUUUGGCGUGUUCGGAGGGGGGCUUACGUUUUCACACAAACUUUGUAUGCAGUGUAGAAUGUAUUUUUUGUUUUUGCGAUCACGCAAUCAAUACAACUUUCAACAACGGAUCUCUUGGUUCUC